Molecule: ribosomal RNA, 163 nt
Filed under: Proustia cuneifolia subsp. mendocina
Lineage: Eukaryota; Viridiplantae; Streptophyta; Magnoliopsida; Asterales; Asteraceae
Description: 5.8S ribosomal RNA
Rfam family: 5.8S ribosomal RNA
About the family: 5.8S ribosomal RNA (5.8S rRNA) is a component of the large subunit of the eukaryotic ribosome. It is transcribed by RNA polymerase I as part of the 45S precursor that also contains 18S and 28S rRNA. Functionally, it is thought that 5.8S rRNA may be involved in ribosome translocation.
Source: RNAcentral
AAACGACUCUCGGCAACGGAUAUCUCGGCUCACGCAUCGAUGAAGAACGUAGCAAAAUGCGAUACUUGGUGUGAAUUGCAGAAUCCCGUGAACCAUCGAGUUUUUGAACGCAAGUUGCGCCCGAAGCCAUCCGGCCGAGGGCACGCCUGCCUGGGCGUCAUGC